This is a long non-coding RNA of Oreochromis niloticus (Nile tilapia), 807 nucleotides long. RefSeq lists it as uncharacterized. The transcript has 3 exons. NCBI's taxonomy places the organism in Eukaryota, Metazoa, Chordata, Actinopteri, Cichliformes, Cichlidae. The record is from RefSeq and is a predicted model, not a curated record.
CAGCGCCACCUACACCUGCUCCGUCACAUCAUUUAGACUGAGAGAUGUCCCACUGCAGGUCAAAGAACCAUUUCCAUCCUGGGCCACAGCUCUGCUGGUUCUCCUGGUUCUCCUGGUUCUGCUGGGUCUCCUGGUUCUUGUUCUUAUCGUCUCUGGAGGUCUUUUAUUUCAUUUCCAGCACUAUUUUAAGUCAGUUGAGUGUCUCCUACUACACUACCCAUAAUGCCGAUGGUUAGCAGGUGUCCUCUGGUGGCUCCUUGACUGUCACACAAUCAUGUGCUGACAGGAAAUGUUGCAGCAGCUUCAGUAAAUGUUCCUCCCUGAGUUGUGCUCAGUCAUGUGGUGGAGAGCUUCAGAUGUUCAGAGCAGGAGAGCUCCAACAAGACCAGGACUGUGGAUUUCCACCAUCUGCUGACAUCACAAUAUAACUGCUUACUGUUAGUAGUGCAGUGUCAGUGGAUGCAUUUGACCAAAACCAGAGUGGAAACGGUCAUAGAUGUGGUGUUUCUUCAAGCAGGCUGUGAGGUGGGCAGCAAGCGGCUUCUCAACAAGCUUUGACCUGAAAGAGAAACUGAUCUAUAAUGUUGAUGUAAUGUUGGAUCUAAGCUGGGUUUGCUGAGCUUUGCUUCCACAACGGCAUGUUUGAAAAAGCUGGAACACUCCAGUCUGAAGAAAAGCGUUAAAAAGGUUUACAAGGCAAAAAGCUUUGUGGGGAGAAUCUCUGAGGGAGCUGAAGACGGCUGAUUCUCAUCAAAUGUCACAGGUGUAAAAGUAGAGCAGCAGUGAGCUGCCACAACAAGAACGCUC